Molecule: unclassified non-coding RNA, 290 nt
Filed under: uncultured fungus
Lineage: Eukaryota; Fungi
Description: partial contains 5.8S ribosomal RNA, internal transcribed spacer 2, and large subunit ribosomal RNA
Rfam family: 5.8S ribosomal RNA (bases 1-52)
Source: RNAcentral
AACGCACCUUGCGCUCCUUGGUAUUCCGAGGAGCAUGCCUGUUUGAGUGUCAUUAAAUUCUCAACCUCUCUAGUUUUCUGAACUAGUAGAUGGCUUGGAUGUGGGGGUUUGUGCAGGCUUUCACAAGUCAGCUCCCCUGAAAUGCAUUAGCCGGUACUAUCUGACCGUCUAUUGGUGUGAUAAUUAUCUACGCCGUGGACAGAAGAACUUGUGCUGCUUACAACCGUCCUGCAUGGGACAAUCAAUGACAUUUUGGCCUCAAAUCAGGUAGGACUACCCGCUGAACUUAA